Molecule: ribosomal RNA, 503 nt
Filed under: uncultured bacterium
Lineage: Bacteria
Description: partial 16S ribosomal RNA
Rfam family: Bacterial small subunit ribosomal RNA
Source: RNAcentral
AUUGAACGCUGGCGGCAGGCUUAACACAUGCAAGUCGAGCGGGGUGAUGGUGCUUGCACUAUCACUUAGCGGCGGACGGGUGAGUAAUGCUUAGGAAUCUGCCUAUUAGUGGGGGACAACAUCUCGAAAGGGAUGCUAAUACCGCAUACGUCCUACGGGAGAAAGCAGGGGAUCACUUGUGACCUUGCGCUAAUAGAUGAGCCUAAGUCGGAUUAGCUAGUUGGUGGGGUAAAGGCCUACCAAGGCGACGAUCUGUAGCGGGUCUGAGAGGAUGAUCCGCCACACUGGGACGGCGGCACGGCCCAGGCUGCUACGGGAGGCAGCAGUGGGGAAUAUUGGACAAUGGGGGGAACCCUGAUCCAGCCAUGCCGCGUGUGUGAAGAAGGCCUUAUGGGUGUAAAGCACUUUAAGCGAGGAGGAGGCUCUUUUGGUUAAUACCCAAGAUGAGUGGACGUUACUCGCAGAAUAAGCACCGGCUAACUCUGUGCCAGCCGCCGCGGUAA